UGUGCCACAGCCGCGGUAAUUCCAGCUCCAAUAGCGUAUAUUAAAGUUGUUGCAGUUAAAAAGCUCGUAGUUGAAUUUCGGGGUCAGUAGGUUGGUCAUGCCACUGGUAUGUACUGGUCUCACUGAUUCCUCCUUCCUGAUGAGCCGUAAUGCCAUUAAUUUGGUGUUGCGAGGAAUCUGGACCGUUACUUUGAAAAAAUUAGAGUGUUUAAAGCAGGCUAACGCUUGAAUACAUUAGCAUGGAAUAAUGAAAUAGGACGUUCGAUCUUAUUUUGUUGGUUUCUAAGAUUGACGUAAUGAUUAAUAGGGAUAGUUGGGGGCAUUAGUAUUCAAUUGUCAGAGGUGAAAUUCUUGGAUUUAUUGAAGACUAACUACUGCGAAAGCAUUUGCCAAGGAUGUUUUCAUUAAUCAAGAACGAAAGUUAGGGGAUCGAAGACGAUCAGAUACCGUCGUAGUCUUAACCAUAAACUAUGCCGACUAGGAU
RNAcentral lists this ribosomal RNA (484 nucleotides) under uncultured Rhizophagus. Its description in RNAcentral is "SSU rRNA". It matches the Rfam family "Eukaryotic small subunit ribosomal RNA", at positions 563 to 1052 of the family's 1831-position model. Lineage: Eukaryota; Fungi; Glomeromycota; Glomeromycetes; Glomerales; Glomeraceae. The record is from RNAcentral.